UUGGGGGACCUUUGUGCUCCGAUUCUCUGUCUCUCUCUUAUUAGUUUCCCUUCUCGAGUCAGAAGGAUAUACAUCUCCCUUGCUUCUUAUUCGUCAGUUUGGCCGAUGAUUCAUCAUUUCUUUCCAAAUAAAGAAAUGCGAUGGUUCUGGAAAUCUCAAGAACGUAUUCAAUCAUGUCUUUGCAGAGCCCAUAUAUAUAUACUUGCAGGUGUCUGUUUGGGUUUGCAUCUGAUUGGAAAUAACCAUGGCAAAGAAGUCUGAAGAAUUAUCAGAAUACUUAUCAGAUGAUGUGGAAGCCAAUCCAAGUAGCGAUAGCCUUACUAUGAGUGAUGAUGAUGAAGAAACUGCUGAUGAGGAGGGUCAAAUAUCACCAUUUUCUUCUCAGCAAUGGCCCCAAAGUUUCAGAGAGACAAUUGACUCAUAUACGAUUGCCGCAUCACCAAGUUUCGGACUCCGACGACUUGGAUCCAGUAUUAUAUCUGAAGUCGAUAGUAGAGAGUUCUUAGGCUCGGAUGUGAAGACACAUUUACUCGCUGAAAAGGAAAAAGUUCAGGAGCAAAAUGUCGUGGAUGGAAUCUCAGUGGCAAAGGCAUCUUGGUCAGAGAAGGCUUCUUCAUUGCAUGAACAACUGGUUGGGGAAUUACCAAUUUCCUAUGGAUGCAGCUUAACUCAGACUAUAUUCAAUGGUGUCAAUGUCAUGGCUGGAGUUGGACUGCUCUCUACUCCUUAUACAGUGAAAGAAGCUGGUUGGGCUAGUUUGUUAGUGUUGGUAAUUUUUGCAGUUAUAUGUUGGUACACAGCUUCUCUUAUGAGUCAUUGCUUCAAGAGCAGGGAAGGAAUCACAACCUAUCCCGAUAUUGGAGAAGCUGCAUUUGGAAAAUUUGGACGCGUUAUUAUAUCUAUUAUCUUGUACAUUGAGCUCUAUUCAUAUUGUGUAGAAUAUAUAAUUUUGGAAGGAGAUAACCUUACUACUCUUUUUCCCGGAACUUCACUAAACUGGGAGGGCCUUAAACUUGAUUCGACUCACUUCUUUGGGAUCCUGACUGCCCUAGUUGUUCUGCCAACUGUUUGGUUGAGGGACCUUCGUGUAAUAUCAUACCUCUCAGCCUGCGGGGUCCUUGCGACUAUAAUAAUUGCUCUGUGUGUGCUUUUCCUUGGUACAGUGGAUGGAGUCGGAUUUCAUAAUACCAAUCGGGUUCUGAACUGGAGUGGGAUUCCUUUUGCUAUUGGGGUAUAUGGCUUUUGCUUCUCUGGGCACUCAGUCUUCCCAAACAUCUACCAAUCUAUGGCUGACAAAUCAAAAUUCAAUGACGCAGUAGCUAUAUGCUUUAUUCUGUGUAUUCUAAUAUAUGGAGGUGUUGCAAUAAUGGGGUAUCUCAUGUUUGGUCAAAGCACAUUGUCUCAGAUUACUUUAAAUAUGCCUGAGGAUUCAAUCGCUUCAAGAAUAGCAGUAUGGACCACUGUUAUCAACCCAUUCACGAAAUAUGCAUUGCUGAUGAAUCCUUUGGGAAGAAGCAUAGAGGAAUUGCUGCCUCCAAGAAUCUCUAGUAGUUUCUUGUGUUUUAUUCUCCUAAGGACAGUGCUUGUCUUUUCUACCCUGUGCGUUGCAUUUCUAAUUCCCUUUUUUGGUCUUGUGAUGGCUCUGAUUGGUUCUCUUCUCAGUAUACUGGUGAUUUGGAGAUCAUCAAACUUAGCUUAUUCAAAUCUGAUUAUGUUCCUCUCCCUCCAAAUCAGUGCAACAAUCAUGGCAAACACACAGCUAGUAAUAACAUUUGUUCCUCUUCUGCUCUUGACUUUCUUGCAUGCCCAUUCCAACUCUGUUUUCCAAUCUCCAAUGCUCCUAUUAUAUCCCAGCCAUGAACAUAGUCUGGACCAUAUUUGCUUUGUGAUGGUGCACUCAAAGAACAAGUGGCUAAAGGAUUCCAGGCUAUGUCAACAAAAUGCACAGGCUGCAGGAAUUUGGAUACCAAUCUUCAACAGUCUUUCCACUAUAGCUAGUCUAUGUUGUGCUGCAAGCCAUAUGGUGAAUCUAUAUCUUGGAUGUAUAUUUGUGUGCAACAUCAAACUUUUCCAUUCAGCUCUGGGGUAUACUGGUAUCAGUUUCAAGUACAUCUACUUAAUCUGGAACUUUGUAUUAGUGCACAUUGUCUGUAGUCUGUUAUGAAUGUUUCCUUGGAGUUGUUGAUGCUCCAUAAUCAAACUUUUGCUAUCUAGUCUCUUCCUCACCACCCAAGAUGCAGAGUUAGAUGUGGCCAUUUUUUCCAGAUUCCUAUUUUUUAUAUAGAAACUAUACACCCACAUUAUCCAUAAGCAGUCCCUUCUUGUUAUAUCUCACAGAUGUUUUAUAAUUGCUGCUUUGUUCCACAGCUUUAUGUCUAGUAUAUUGAGUCCUCCAGCAGCUGUUAGCCUGCACACCUUUUCCCAAGCCACCAGUGCUUUCUUUGAGAUAGUAGUAGUAUCAGUCCAUAGGAAAGUUCUGCAUAUUGCCUCAAUUGCUUUCAUAACCUUCUUUGGAAGAACAAAAAUCUAUGCCUAAUAGGUUUGAAUGCCAAAGAUAACAGCCUUGAUCAGUUGACAUCUGCCAGCAUAAGAUAGAAGUUUAGCUGACCAGCAUGUGACCAUUGCAGUUAUCUUCUCAAUAAGAGGCAGGCUACUGGUAGAAAAGAAGUUCUUCACAGCUGCAACGAUGUCCUUCACUAUAUUCCAGUUCCUAGUAAAGAAUUCCACAGGAAAACCAUCAACCCCUGGUACUUUGUCUUUA
Molecule: non-coding RNA, 2761 nt
Organism: Nicotiana tabacum (common tobacco)
Lineage: Eukaryota; Viridiplantae; Streptophyta; Magnoliopsida; Solanales; Solanaceae
Source: RefSeq, a predicted model, not a curated record